RNAcentral lists this ribosomal RNA (200 nucleotides) under uncultured bacterium. RNAcentral describes it as "partial 16S ribosomal RNA". It matches the Rfam family "Bacterial small subunit ribosomal RNA", at positions 524 to 723 of the family's 1533-position model. The record is from RNAcentral.
UACGGAGGGUGCAAGCGUUAUCCGGAAUCACUGGGUUUAAAGGGUGCGUAGGUGGACUAGUAAGUCAGAGGUGAAAUCCCGUCGCUUAACGACGGAACUGCCUUUGAUACUGCUUGUCUUGAAUCAGGUUGAGGUAUGCGGAAUGUGGCAUGUAGCGGUGAAAUGCGUAGAUAUGCCAUAGAACACCGAUUGCGAAGGCA